RNAcentral lists this ribosomal RNA (757 nucleotides) under uncultured bacterium. RNAcentral's name for it is "bacterial SSU rRNA". It matches the Rfam family "Bacterial small subunit ribosomal RNA", at positions 8 to 796 of the family's 1533-position model. The record is from RNAcentral.
AGAGUUUGAUCAUGGCUCAGAAUCAACGCUGGCGGCGGCCUAACACAUGCAAGUCGAACGAGAAAGCAGGAGCAAUCUUGUGAGUAAAGUGGCGUACGGGUGAGUAACACGUGGAUUAUCUACCUUCUUGUGGGGGAUAACCCUGGGAAACCGGGGCUAAUACCGCAUAAGCUCGAGAGAGGAAAGCAGCAAUGCGCUGGAAGAGGAGUCCGCGGCCGAUUAGCUAGUUGGUAGGGUAAAAGCCUACCAAGGCUACGAUCGGUAGCCGGCCUGAGAGGGCACACGGCCACACUGGCACUGAAACACGGGCCAGACUCCUACGGGAGGCAGCAGUGGGGAAUCUUGCACAAUGGGGGCAACCCUGAUGCAGCGACGCCGCGUGAGCGAUGAAGCCCUUCGGGGUGUAAAGCUCUUUCGGCAGGGAAGAUUAUGACGGUACCUGCAGAAGCAGCUGCGGCUAACUACGUGCCAGCAGCCGCGGUAAUACGUAGGCAGCAAGCGUUGUUCGGAGUUACUGGGCGUAAAGGGUGUGUAGGCGGUUCUCUAAGUCUGGUGUGAAAUCUCCCGGCUCAACUGGGAGGGUGCGCCGAAAACUGGAGGGCUAGAGUGCGGGAUGGGAGAGUGGAAUUCCUGGUGUAGCGGUGAAAUGCGUAGAUAUCAGGAGGAACACCUGUGGUGUAGACGGCUCUCUGGACCGCAACUGACGCUGAGACACGAAAGCGUGGGUAGCAAACAGGAUUAGAUACCCUAGUAGUCC